This is a long non-coding RNA of Epinephelus lanceolatus (giant grouper), 309 nucleotides long. RefSeq lists it as uncharacterized. The record is from RefSeq and is a predicted model, not a curated record. NCBI's taxonomy places the organism in Eukaryota, Metazoa, Chordata, Actinopteri, Perciformes, Serranidae.
CUGUACUGGUGAAAAGGAUGGAAUGAAAGAUGUAGGAGCAAGGUAGACCCAGAAGAUGGCGGUAAUGCAACGUAACGGAUGCCAACCGCCGUAAAACUCCGAAGAAGAAGAAGAACCAUACACGCGCCAGUAAGAGAAAGAACUGUAAGAUGCACCCCUCUAUUUUGAGUGACGAAGCCAGUCUGGGGCACAUAACCCUUUCACCAUCCGAGUUUAGGUGUCCUCUCUGUCCCAAAUUUAAAACCAAAAAUGAGAACGCGAUCCAGAGGCACAUGAAAAACCAUAUGGAAAAUGCAGUUCAUUUCCAUG